GGAAUCCUCCACAAUGGGCGAAAGCCUGAUGGAGCAACGCCGCGUGUGUGAUGAAGGGUUUCGGCUCGUAAAACUCUGUUGUUAAAGAAGAACACGUAUGAGAGUAACUGUUCAUACGUUGACGGUAUUUAACCAGAAAGUCACGGCUAACUACGUGCCUG
This 161-nucleotide ribosomal RNA is filed under the name uncultured bacterium. RNAcentral describes it as "partial 16S ribosomal RNA". It matches the Rfam family "Bacterial small subunit ribosomal RNA", at positions 358 to 511 of the family's 1533-position model. The record is from RNAcentral.